GACGAACGCUGGCGGCGUGCUUAACACAUGCAAGUCGAACGGAAAGGCCCUGCUUUUGUGGGGUGCUCGAGUGGCGAACGGGUGAGUAACACGUGAGUAACCUGCCCUUGACUUUGGGAUAACUUCAGGAAACUGGGGCUAAUACCGGAUAGGAGCUCCUGCUGCAUGGUGGGGGUUGGAAAGUUUCGGCGGUUGGGGAUGGACUCGCGGCUUAUCAGCUUGUUGGUGGGGUAGUGGCUUACCAAGGCUUUGACGGGUAGCCGGCCUGAGAGGGUGACCGGGCACAAUGGGACCUAGGAUACGCCCCGAACUCCACCGGAGGCAAGAGGUGGGAAUUAUUGCACAUGGGGCGAAGCCCUAAGGCGCAAACCCCGCUGGGGGAAUAACGGCUUUCGGGUUUAAACCCCCUUUCGCCUGUAACAAACGUUAGGGGACGUAAUGGGUAAAGAAGCACCGGCUAACUACGUG
Molecule: ribosomal RNA, 468 nt
Filed under: uncultured bacterium
Lineage: Bacteria
Description: partial 16S ribosomal RNA
Rfam family: Bacterial small subunit ribosomal RNA
Source: RNAcentral